This 524-nucleotide ribosomal RNA is filed under the name uncultured Diversispora. RNAcentral describes it as "SSU rRNA". It matches the Rfam family "Eukaryotic small subunit ribosomal RNA", at positions 569 to 1092 of the family's 1831-position model. Lineage: Eukaryota; Fungi; Glomeromycota; Glomeromycetes; Diversisporales; Diversisporaceae. The record is from RNAcentral.
AGCAGCCGCGGUAAUUCCAGCUCCAAUAGCGUAUAUUAAAGUUGUUGCAGUUAAAAAGCUCGUAGUUGAACUUCGGAAUUUAUUCAUUGGUCAGACUUAACUGUCUGUACUGGUGUUAUGAAUUCCUCCCUUCUGAGGAAUUAUCAUGCCAUUUAGUUGGUGUGGUAGGGAAUCAGGCCUGUUACUUUGAAAAAAUUAGAGUGUUUAAAGCAGGCUAACGUCUGAAUACAUUAGCAUGGAAUAAUAGAAUAGGACGGAUUGGUUCUAUUUUGUUGGUUUCUAGGAUCACCGUAAUGAUUAAUAGGGAUAGUUGGGGGCAUUAGUAUUCAAUUGUCAGAGGUGAAAUUCUUGGAUUUAUUGAAGACUAACUACUGCGAAAGCAUUUGCCAAGGAUGUUUUCAUUAAUCAAGAACGAAAGUUAGGGGAUCGAAGACGAUCAGAUACCGUCGUAGUCUUAACCAUAAACUAUGCCGACUAGGGAUCGGACGAAGUUAAUUUUUAAAUGACUCGUUCGGCACCUUACG